GAUGAAGAAGGCAGCAAAAUGCGAUAAGUAAUGUGAAUUGCAGAAUUCAGUGAAUCAUCGAAUCUUUGAACGCACAUUGCGCCCGCCAGUAUUCUGGCGGGCAUGCCUGUUCGAGCGUCAUUUCAACCCUCAAGCACAGCUUGGUGUUGGGACUCGCGUUAAUUCGCGUUCCCCAAAUUGAUUGGCGGUCACGUCGAGCUUCCAUAGCGUAGUAGUAAAACCCUCGUUACUGGUAAUCGUCGCGGCCACGCCGUUAAACCCCAACUUCUGAAUGUUGACCUCGGAUCAGGUAGGAAUACCCGCUGAACUUAAGCAUAUCAAUAAGCGGAGGA
This 332-nucleotide unclassified non-coding RNA is filed under the name soil metagenome. RNAcentral describes it as "partial contains 5.8S ribosomal RNA, internal transcribed spacer 2, and large subunit ribosomal RNA". The stretch from base 1 to 120 matches the Rfam family "5.8S ribosomal RNA", at positions 35 to 154 of the family's 154-position model. The record is from RNAcentral.